Long non-coding RNA from Paramisgurnus dabryanus, 404 nucleotides. RefSeq lists it as uncharacterized. NCBI's taxonomy places the organism in Eukaryota, Metazoa, Chordata, Actinopteri, Cypriniformes, Cobitidae. The record is from RefSeq and is a predicted model, not a curated record.
GCUUUGUACAAAAUCUGUGCGUUUGAGAAAGGGGGGAUUCAAUGAGCAACAAUAUUGUAAGGAAGAAAUUUGCUGAUACCAUCAUUUACACACCAGGGGGCAGACACUCAUGAAGUUAUGAUAUAAUUUCCUUUCUUACAUGAUUCAAACAAUCAUCCAAAUACAUUCAGGUUAUAUCGGAGUAGAGGGUGGAUCUCUAAUCUACUUCUGUACAUUUAGAUUAAACAUGAUCAGACAUCUGAGCACAAUCUUGUUCUUUUUUCUCCCAGGCUUGUCAGUGAGUUCCAGUGUCACACAGGACCCACCCGACGUACUAUGCCAAAUCCACACAGAAUCUGUUGUUUUCCAGUGUUCACACAGCAGUUCAAGCUUUAAUACCAUUAUCUGGUACAAGCAGCUUCUCA